AGCGAAUAGAUACCCGGGUAGUCCUGGCCUUAAACGAUGGGCACUAGGUAGUGGGCUCGACCUGGGCGCACUGCCGCAGCGAAAGUCAUUAGUGCCCCGCCUGGGGAGUAUGGUCGCAAGGCUGAAACUCAAGGGAAUUGACGGGGGCUCACACAAGCGGUGGAGCAUGUGGCUUAAUUCGAGGCUACGCGAAGAACCUUACCCAGGCUUGACAUGUGCGAAAGCGCCAAGUGUACCCUGCGGAACGCAGGGGAACCCCGCAAGGGGGACGUUGUACAGGUGCUGCAUGGCUGUCGUCAGCUCGUGUCGUGAGAUG
This 316-nucleotide ribosomal RNA is filed under the name uncultured bacterium. Its description in RNAcentral is "bacterial SSU rRNA". It matches the Rfam family "Bacterial small subunit ribosomal RNA", at positions 771 to 1074 of the family's 1533-position model. The record is from RNAcentral.